This 67-nucleotide transfer RNA is filed under the name Scolytinae sp. BMNH 1274288. RNAcentral's name for it is "tRNA-Leu". Lineage: Eukaryota; Metazoa; Arthropoda; Insecta; Coleoptera; Curculionidae. The record is from RNAcentral.
AUUGCUUUGGCAGAAAAGUGUGAUAGAUUUAGGAUCUUUUUAUGUAGUGUUAUAACUACAAGUAAUA